UUCUUUUUUUUUGACGGACACGCAGGGCAGCCAAAGAGCGCGCAGCAGCGAGGAGGCGCGGGGCCGGAGGGGAGAAGGAGAGCCACGCUGUUCUCGCGGCUGGAGGGAGGAUGGCGCCAGAGCGCGCAGGGCAGGGAUCACCGCGCAGGAGCGGCGCGUCUUCAGUGCGCCUGGAGGAAGCGCUCUGAAACGAGCCCGAGACAUGUCACUCUGAGAUAGAAAAAUAAAAAAUAAAGUUGGUUCCUUUGCUGAUUUGAAACGAAAACUCUGCACGUUUUGAAUGUCAGCAAGCAAAAAAACAAAAAAAAAACAAACAAACAAACAAAAAAAAAACAACAAAUCAACACGUCUAACAAUAACUAAAACAUGACAAAAGAAAUCUUCAUGAAUAUCUAAAGAUGAAUGGUAUUCAGAAGGAAAAUUGUUAUUUUCUCCAGGAAGUCAGACAUGGAUAUUUUCGGUAGAAGCAGUUGCUUGAAAAGUCUCAAACUAAGUGAGUCUCCGUCGUUUAAAGUCAAAAGAAAUGCUGCAUGUAAAAAGUGUUUGGGACGGGAAUAAACAUUCAUAUUUCCCUUGAAUAAAUAUGUUUACCUAUACAGAUUUAGCUGUUACGUUUUUAUUCUUAGGCCUCUUGUUUAAAAAGAUGUGGUAUGUUUUUUUUUCUUUCUUUUUUGAGGGGGUGAUUACAUUAAUUAAACCCAUUUUAAUAUGUGUAUUUCAACUUGAUUCAUUUGGGGGAGAAAACAAAUACAAUCUAAACGUAAUUUUUAAAAAAAAAAAUAAACCGGAUAGCGUUUCUUCCCCCUUUUUUUGUCAAGCAUUUGUCCCUUUUCUAAGUCAGAGCUAUUUUUUUUUUCUGUACGAUCCGACCGCACACGACAGCACAGAAGAUGGAUAUUUAAAUUAGAGGUGAGACAGGGAGUGGAGGUGUUGCAGCCGCCGGUUCUGAUGGAGAAAGCAGCUCCGCUCUGCAGCCCAGAACCCAGAACCGAGGAAGCCAGGAGGAGAAUCUGAGAAAAGCCGAGAGGAAGAAAAAAAAAGACAGAAAGAAAGAAAGAAACAAAGAAAGAAAGAAAGAAAGAACGGUAUCAGUCACUGGUGAGAGAAGAUUUGUUUUGCUCGAAAGGCACGAGAUUAUAGGAAGUCAGAGAGGACCACAGGAGGGAUUGCAGGAGAUGAAUGGAUGAAGACAGAGGAAACGGGCCGGGAUGGCAGGGAAAAGACAGGGAGACAGAGUCGUGUUUAUCAGCCUGGAGGAGGACGAUACUGAGAAGCAUGGAGGCGUAUCAUGAACAAGGUUGCACAGUUUGUGGGUCUCUCGGUCAACAUCCAUUAGGCGAAACGGAGAGAAGCUAUGCGCUGGCGAAACCAGGGCAGCGCAUAUUCCCUUUCCAAAACCCACAGAAACACCAGUCUGGAAUCAAUCUGCUAUCACAGCGCGAGCACACACAUUUUAAUCUUUAACCCCCGGUGAGACCCGAGUCCGGGCUAUUUUUCAUAUCUGUGAGUCAGCGUGUCGUAAUGCUGUGUCAGAUUUGGGGUAUGGCCCUCUGUCAUGUCUCUGAGUUCACCUGCACCUAAAGCUCUUUACCAGAGCACUGGGAAUUAACGGCUGCCAUAAAUAGUGAGCAGAGUGUGUGCGGAGAGCUGCAGAAAAGCACCGGGCAAGGAUAUAUCUGACAGGAAAGGAGCAAAUCUUCUCCCCAUGCUACCUGCUGUAAAAAAAAAGUCAUAUUUCAGGGCUUCACAUCAGAGAGCAGUUAGAUUUUUCUUUUCUUUUUUUUUUUGUUUCUCUAUAGGAGCAGGGAGACAGCAUGCGAGUUGUUUUUAGAAGACUUAGCUUGAUUUUUCAAGCGUUAACUUGAAGAUAGAUUAUUCACCUUUUCUUUUCCAAUCAUGCGUUACAUUUAGAUAUCUAGAGGUGACGAAGACGACUUGCUAAAGUUCAAACUGAGCAAGAAUGAAAGCCUCUGACCUGCUGCCUUCCUGGCAUAUGUUUCUAUUGGCUUGAUGGCAGAGAGUGUCGGCUGCUUGACAGCUACAUAUAGGAAUAGUUACAGCCAGAGCUGGAAAUCAACUUUGACGUCUUCAAAUGUCGUCAAAAAGCGCCACGGCCUGCUCUUUAGGAUGUUCAGUUCUUUGUAUUUGACAAAAUGUAACGUUUAUUGCUUGUUUCAUGAUUGGUUUUUAUGGUAUAAAUCCCUUUGAAAUGCCUUGUUGAUUAAAUGUACUGUACAGAUAAACUUCACUUGACAUUCAUUUACUUAGUAAACCCCCGUCCUACUGGUAAACCUUUCUUAUCGUCUCAUGAUCACAUCUGUACACUUGCUGAAUUGGCUUAUGUGUGCGCGUGUUUUUGUGUGUGUGUGUGUGUUACACAGGAGCUGUACUACAAUGGUCAAUGCGAUAACAUUUGGUGGACCACCUGUCGGGAAGCUCAGUUUGCUCAGUACAAAGUCUCAUCUAACCAAUCACUGUCUGUGUGUGCGAAUGGUUUGCGUGUGUGUGUGUGAGGGCGUGCGCGUGAUAGGGGUUUACCUGAACGGCUGAGGUGGAGAAGUAUUUGAUUACUGAUAAUGUUACAGGGCAAGAACCAUAUGAGGAAGAACAGCAAAACAACCCCAACGGAGACGUUAUAUCAGUAAAAGUUGAUCAAAGAGACAUGCGUGCGCGCUCAUCAUCUGCUGGCAAAUGGGUCCUCAGCUUUCCGACUGUUACGCCACAGAGGAAACUAUAGUUCAAAGAGACAGGCUUACAAAUGUCCAUCUUAACUGCUGUCCAUUAAAAUGUCUCUAAACGGGGCCUAUGACAGGAACACACAUCCCCAUUUCACCUUCACUUAUCAUUAGUCCAGCGCCAAAGGCAAAAGGUCAGCGUUGGAGCAGACAUUAACAAGUUCAACAAACAGCCCAUUGCCUCAUAACUCGCAGCGGAGAGGUGUCUACAUCAUUAGCCCUAACUUGCGGCUAAUUGCAACUUGCAGGGUGAGUCAUGCAUGUGUACCGAGGGUCGCUGAUGAGACGGAGAGAAACAACAAUUCACGUGUUCUGCAUUUCUAUUUCAAAUUCCACGCUUCUUCGACGCCCCAAAGUCCCGGGUCUCCAACUGUUUUAAGACACUCUGAACAUUUCAGUGUGAGAACAUUUACCUCAUUUACUAUUUUAUUUGCCAAAAAAAAGAGAGAUUUCAUGAGAAGACGACUUGAAAUAGUCCCAUUUUAAUUGUGCAUUUAUUUCUGAUUUCUACUGACAAAACUAAAGCAGUAAAUGAGUAGCUAUACAAAUAUGCAAAGAUCCUAUGCAAUGUUGCAAUGUACACGACUGAUUAAGAAUGGAUUACAACUGCAGUACUUCACAAAAAUUAAAUUUAACAAAUGCACAAAAGCCAGUUUUGCACGAGAUCGAUGAUGUCAGAAAGAGGCAAACAAAUCCUGCCGAUCAGCUGGCAGUAAAUAUCUGAGUCACUAUUGUCUGGUUCAUGAGGUUUUUGGUUCCUUACAUGUUUUUUGUGAUGUCCUGGUUCCCUUGUUGAUGCACUCGUUUCUACAGGUCUGCCAUUGGCCAGGCUGGGGUUUGGCUGUGGAAAUUACUCAGCUUUCCCAAAGAUGUGCUUAAUCACUGUCAUGUGGAAGGAAGUGAUUAUUUUUUUAUAUGACUCAAUAGAUUUGCACGUUUCGUUUAACGUUAGUUGGAUUGAAUUUGCAAAAACAUGGUAGCCUUGAGCUGUGAUGUGAAAGGACAUGAAAGAUAAAUAACUUUGUCUAAAUACUCAAUAAAUCAUAGUGAAAUGUCAUUUUUCAUCUUAAUUUUGUGAUUUUAGAACAUAAUGUCUAAUAAAGUCUUGAAACUCA
Molecule: long non-coding RNA, 3850 nt
Organism: Xiphophorus couchianus (Monterrey platyfish)
Lineage: Eukaryota; Metazoa; Chordata; Actinopteri; Cyprinodontiformes; Poeciliidae
Exons: 3
Source: RefSeq, a predicted model, not a curated record